This 301-nucleotide ribosomal RNA is filed under the name uncultured bacterium. RNAcentral's name for it is "partial 16S ribosomal RNA". It matches the Rfam family "Bacterial small subunit ribosomal RNA", at positions 509 to 807 of the family's 1533-position model. The record is from RNAcentral.
CAGUCGCCGCGGGAAAACGUAGGGUGCAAGCGUUAAUCGGAAUUACUGGGCGUAAAGCGUGCGCAGGCGGUUUGCUAAGACAGACGUGAAAUCCCCGGGCUUAACCUGGGAAUGGCAGUGGAUACUGGCUCGCUAGAGUGUGUCAGAGGAUGGUGGAAUUCCCGGUGUAGCGGUGAAAUGCGUAGAGAUCGGGAGGAACAUCAGUGGCGAAGGCGGCCAUCUGGGACAACACUGACGCUGAUGCACGAAAGCGUGGGGAGCAAACAGGAUUAGAUACCCCGGUAGUCCCUGUCUCUUAUAC